This 468-nucleotide ribosomal RNA is filed under the name uncultured bacterium. Its description in RNAcentral is "partial 16S ribosomal RNA". It matches the Rfam family "Bacterial small subunit ribosomal RNA", at positions 28 to 507 of the family's 1533-position model. The record is from RNAcentral.
GACGAACGCUGGCGGCGUGCUUAACACAUGCAAGUCGAACGGAAAGGCCCUGCUUUUGUGGGGUGCUCGAGUGGCGAACGGGUGAGUAACACGUGGGUAACCUGCCCUUGACUUUGGGAUAACUUCAGGAAACUGGGGCUAAUACCGGAUAGGAGCUCCUGCUGCAUGGUGGGGGCUGGAAAGUUUCGGCGGUUGGGGAUGGACUCGCGGCUUAUCAGCUUGUUGGUGGGGUAGUGGCUUACCAAGGCUUUGACGGGUAGCCGGCCUGAGAGGGUGACCGGCCACAUUGGGACUGAGAUACGGCCCAGACUCCUACGGGAGGCAGCGGUGGAGAGUAUAGCACAAUAGGCGGAAGCCUGAUGCAGCAACGCCGCGUGGGGGAUGACGGCCUUCGGGUUGUAAACCGCUUUCGCCUGUUACGAAGCGUGAGUGACGGUAAUGGGUAAAGAAGCACCGGCUAACUACGUG